GACGAACGCUGGCGGCGUGCUUAACACAUGCAAGUCGAACGGAAAGGCCCUGCUUGCAGGGUACUCGAGUGGCGAACGGGUGAGUAACACGUGGGUGAUCUGCCCUGCACUUCGGGAUAAGCCUGGGAAACUGGGUCUAAUACCGGAUAGGAGCCAUUUUUAGUGUGAUGGUUGGAAAGUUUUUUCGGUGUAGGAUGAGCUCGCGGCCUAUCAGCUUGUUGGUGGGGUAAUGGCCUACCAAGGCGGCGACGGGUAGCCGGCCUGAGAGGGUGGACGGCCACAUUGGGACUGAGAUACGGCCCAGACUCCUACGGGAGGCAGCAGUGGGGAAGAUUGCACAAGGGGCGCAAGCCUGAUGCAGCGACGCCGCGUGGGGGAUGACGGCCUUCGGGUUGUAAAAUCCUUUCGCUAGGGACGAAGCUUUUUGUGACGGUACCUAGAUAAGAAGCACCGGCUAACUACGUG
RNAcentral lists this ribosomal RNA (465 nucleotides) under uncultured bacterium. RNAcentral's name for it is "partial 16S ribosomal RNA". It matches the Rfam family "Bacterial small subunit ribosomal RNA", at positions 28 to 507 of the family's 1533-position model. The record is from RNAcentral.